UUUUUAUUUUUUUUUAUUUUUUAUUUUUGAAAAGAAAGAAAAUUAAAACAGAACGAUAAAAAAAUAAAAUAAGAGAAAAUAAUAAAAAGUAAAAAUAAAAUAAAAUAAAAUCAAAUCAAAUCAAAUCAAAUCAACCCAAAUCAAAUAAAAUCAAAUCAAAUCAAAUCAAAUAAAAAAAAAAAGUCUAAUCGAUCAAGAAUCAUACACAUAGAAUAGUUCUACUAUGAGUCCCUGGCAGAGGCGCC
This 245-nucleotide long non-coding RNA is filed under the name Vigna radiata. RNAcentral describes it as "long non-coding RNA (VRAD_LNC017620)". Lineage: Eukaryota; Viridiplantae; Streptophyta; Magnoliopsida; Fabales; Fabaceae. The record is from RNAcentral.